Molecule: ribosomal RNA, 189 nt
Filed under: Neobacillus drentensis
Lineage: Bacteria; Bacillati; Bacillota; Bacilli; Caryophanales; Bacillaceae
Description: partial 16S ribosomal RNA
Rfam family: Bacterial small subunit ribosomal RNA
Source: RNAcentral
UUCUUGGAGAGUUUGAUCCUGGCUCAGGACGAACGCUGGCGGCGUGCCUAAUACAUGCAAGUCGAGCGAAUCAAUAGGAGCUUGCUCCUAUUGAUUAGCGGCGGACGGGUGAGUAACACGUGGGCAACCUGCCUGUAAGACUGGGAUAACACCGGGAAACCGGUGCUAAUACCGGAUAAUCCUUUUCCU